Molecule: long non-coding RNA, 322 nt
Organism: Rhineura floridana
Lineage: Eukaryota; Metazoa; Chordata; Lepidosauria; Squamata; Rhineuridae
Exons: 3
Source: RefSeq, a predicted model, not a curated record
ACCAUGCUGCCCCAGUCUACCCAGACAACCACUCUGGAGGAUGUUAUGGCCAGGAUGGAAAUCAUGGACAGCAAAAUUAACACCCAAGGUCAGCAGUUUGAGGAGCACAGGAAGUCCACACAGGACACCAUCUGAAAGAUGGAGACCUUGUGGAUUCCUGGUCUGCACCACCGAUUGCGUGCUGUGGAGGCAGGACAACAGGGUUCCGCCAAGUUGUCAGGCCAGGCUCCGGACCAGCGCUAGCGUGUGAUUUGCACAACACUACUCAAGGGGAAGACAAAUGCGUUCAUGCAUCGUUUCGUUUCAUUUGUGAAGAAAGUGG